Molecule: long non-coding RNA, 1023 nt
Organism: Lates calcarifer (barramundi perch)
Lineage: Eukaryota; Metazoa; Chordata; Actinopteri; Centropomidae
Exons: 5
Source: RefSeq, a predicted model, not a curated record
GAGGGAGCCCUCACACCAUCCACCAACAUAAGUUCUUUGCAUCUAGGACAAACAGUGUUUUUUUGUUUGUUUGUUUUACAAAGGUUAAUUUGGAGACAAAAUGGCUCAAGUUCAUCACAGCUUCAUUGUCUUUAUUUACAGGUUAUUAAUUAGGUAAGUGUAUUUGUUACCAUUUGCCAUCAUGACUGAAGAUUAUCUGGUCUCUUCCCUCUGGACCACAGUCUGUUCUCAUUUCCAUCACGUAUAAAAGAUGUCCAGAAGCAGCAAACAAGAUCCCAAAAACAACAACGGCAAGGCCAGAGAUGGUGCUGAUCUCGGACGUCCUGAUGCCGAUCGUUCACUUAAAGCUCACCGUACCAUGGGAGGACUGCACUAAGGAAGCAGAUGAUGGCAAAGCACACUGAGCUAAUGGAAGACAGCCAAAGCAACGGGCUGAGAGGGACGUGUGAGACCAUUGGAAUUGGAUGCAGAGGGUUCAUAGACUUCUAUUCAGAAGUUGUUGCCGCAUUACCAGAUCCAUGCAAUGAACUUGCCAGAAACCUGUGAAGACCUGGGACAGUGUUGCAGAACCAGCACCAAGACCUUUUUGUUCCCAAGCAGAUGUUGACCUUCCACCUCUCCACCAGCCACCCAUCAAGCUGUGUCACACAAGUACCCUGCAAUUAAGAGGAAACGGGCCAGUGUGGACGCUACAGUGACUUGCCAGCGGAGAGUGGAGACAAGUCCUGGAGAGUAAAAGUCUGAUGUUGAAUCACAACAGUUCUUCUAGGCUGGCGAAUGCUGUGAUGCUCAAGUUCAAACCCAAACAAAUGGAUGUGGCAAAUUUGUGAUGACAACUUGACUCAUCGACCUCAUAGCGGAGAGGCUUCAUGUGGCGUAAAAGCCACACUGAGAUGCCGUCUAGUCCUGCCCGGUACCCAGCAUGCCGCAGGGCACAGACAGAAGGAGCCACACUGUCUCCUGGGAUCUGAAAUGGGUCAUUUCUGCUCCCCCUGACCGCAACAUGGAGUUCGAACCAUGAAA